Long non-coding RNA from Nematostella vectensis (starlet sea anemone), 1155 nucleotides. RefSeq lists it as uncharacterized. Lineage: Eukaryota; Metazoa; Cnidaria; Anthozoa; Actiniaria; Edwardsiidae. The record is from RefSeq and is a predicted model, not a curated record. The transcript is spliced from 2 exons.
UUGGUAGUUCAAACCUUGGGCCUUCUGCAAGACGUUUUUUUCCCAAUCGUAGAAUUACCGGAACAAUAUAACUCGAAAUUUCAUAGUAUUUAGAAUAAGCAAACAUUUCUUACUAGCUUAUACUUCCUCUGCAUAUCGACUUAUCGACAUAUCGACGAAAACGUUCGGGUUACCUGUGUUAGAAGGCCUGCUGCGACAGUUUGAACUUUGGAAGCGGCCGCCAAAUACAAAUAACUUUGCCCAUAAAUUUCACAUAUUUAGGUCGGGAAUUGGACAAGAAACGUUUUAGAUUUUAAGGCAUAAACCGCGAAUAAUCUCGCCGAGCCACUCCAGAAUCUAGUAAAGAUAAGCCCAUAUUUCACAAGAACAUUGUACCAUAAACAAUUAAACGAUGAAAACACAACAGCACUGAAAUGUCCAUGAAGAGAUGAAAGUUUGUCAACUUUGCUGAUCUUGUCAGGACUCUUUGGGAAAAGAGGAUACUGGCAUAUAACUUCAAUCUCUGGUGCGCAUUUGUAGAAACAGAAAUGCGAGUGUAUUCCUAAUUCUUCUUUGUUUUCGAAAAAUAGCGUAGUUUUGUCCUGUCUAUAGUCAACAAUCACAGGGCAACCAAAGGCUGCUAUACUCUAUACCGUAUAUAUUUAUGGCUAUCAAAUCUUUAAAAUUACAGGAGUGCAUUAGAUUUUAACCAUUCGCUGGUGCUUCUUAUUAGUUUUGGGCGUUUAAUGUAGUUUUUAGUUAAAAAUGGAAAUGUAAGAUUGAGCAAGAAGCAAACUUUGAUAUAUGAGAAAUGCAAAAACGGUGUGACCAUAAAGUUGCUAGAUACAUUUAAUAGUAAAUAGUAUUUGCGAUUACCAUUGAUAAGAGAGCCUAUUAAAAUAUGCCACUCAUAAGAGUGCUGGUAAAAGAGGUAGGGUCACAAAUGUAAUGUGCCCACAAAUUUAUCAUCCCACAACUGUAAUAAGAAGUUGUCUACAAAUGUACUAAACCCACAAUUGUAAUAACAAGUUGCACACAACUGUAAUAACCUGGAUCUCACUAAUUGAGUACAAUUGUCUGAACUCAUAUAUAACUGACAUUCAUAAAUUGCAUUAUCGUUAUUAUUGUUGAGUCCACGAGGGAUUUGUUCAGUUCAUUAAAAACCCAUUCAGACAA